RNAcentral lists this ribosomal RNA (274 nucleotides) under uncultured bacterium. RNAcentral describes it as "partial 16S ribosomal RNA". It matches the Rfam family "Bacterial small subunit ribosomal RNA", at positions 523 to 796 of the family's 1533-position model. The record is from RNAcentral.
AUACAGAGGGUGCGAGCGUUAAUCGGAAUUACUGGGCGUAAAGCGCGCGUAGGCGGUUUGUUAAGUCGGAUGUGAAAUCCCCGGGCUCAACCUGGGAACUGCAUUCGAAACUGGCAGGCUAGAGUAUAGUAGAGGCAAGUGGAAUUCCGGGUGUAGCGGUGAAAUGCGUAGAUAUCCGGAGGAACAUCAGUGGCGAAGGCGACUUGCUGGACUAAUACUGACGCUGAGGAGCGAAAGCGUGGGGAGCAAACGGGAUUAGAAACCCCGGUAGUCC